This is a non-coding RNA of Mycena galericulata, 90 nucleotides long. The record is from the annotation of a GenBank genome assembly. Lineage: Eukaryota; Fungi; Basidiomycota; Agaricomycetes; Agaricales; Mycenaceae.
GACCCGAUAGCACAAUGUAGUGCCUCUGCUUCGUUUGGGCUAUCAGAAUCUUGACGGCAGAAGUUCCCGGUUCGACUCCGGGUCGGGUCA